AGUGCGUUAAACUAAGUUUAAAAGUGGGGACGUAAAUAAUAUUUGCAAAGUUGAGGAAGGAGUACCAAGCGAUGGAAGCACCCUUGUGUUGAUCCAUGGAUUUCUCACCUCCAGCCAUGAUUGGAGCAAGCUUGACCACGACUACCUGAUUACGGAACAGGCAGACAUUCACGAGGCUCUGCUGACGUCACUUUCCAUACCACGCGCACACGUGAUGUCACAUGACUACGGCGACACCGUGGCCUUGGAACUGCUUCAUAG
This is a long non-coding RNA of Mya arenaria, 261 nucleotides long. RefSeq lists it as uncharacterized. Lineage: Eukaryota; Metazoa; Mollusca; Bivalvia; Myida; Myidae. The record is from RefSeq and is a predicted model, not a curated record. The transcript has 3 exons.